UGGGGAAUCUUCCGCAAUGGGCGAAAGCCUGACGGAGCAACGCCGCGUGAGUGAAGAAGGCCUUCGGGUCGUAAAGCUCUGUCUUAGAGGAAGAACAUCAUUUGUGUGAAUAAUGCGAAUGACUGACGGUACUCUUAGAGGAAGCUCCGGCUAACUACGUGCCAGCAGCCGCGGUAAUACGUAGGGAGCGAGCGUUGUCCGGAAUUACUGGGCGUAAAGGGCGUGUAGGCGGGGUUUUAAGCAGGAUGUGAAAUAUAUGGGCUCAACCCGUAGGCUGCAUUCUGAACUGGAACUCUUGAGGGCAGGAGAGGAAAGUGGAAUUCCUAGUGUAGCGGUGAAAUGCGUAGAUAUUAGGAGGAACACCAGUGGCGAAGGCGACUUUCUGGACUGUACCUGACGCUGAGGCGCGAAAGCGUGGGGAGCAAACAGG
Molecule: ribosomal RNA, 430 nt
Filed under: uncultured bacterium
Lineage: Bacteria
Also listed under: 1 other name
Description: bacterial SSU rRNA
Rfam family: Bacterial small subunit ribosomal RNA
Source: RNAcentral